This 461-nucleotide ribosomal RNA is filed under the name uncultured bacterium. Its description in RNAcentral is "bacterial SSU rRNA". It matches the Rfam family "Bacterial small subunit ribosomal RNA", at positions 29 to 477 of the family's 1533-position model. The record is from RNAcentral.
AACUAACGCUGGCGGCGUGCCUAAUACAUGCAAGUCGAACGAGAAGGUCCGCAAGGAUGAGUACAGUGGCGCACGGGUGAGUAACACGUGGAUAAUCUGCCUUAAGGUGGGGAAUAACUCCUCGAAAGAGGAGCUAAUACCGCAUAAGACCACAGACACUUCGGUGUUCGGGGUUAAAAGUGACCUCUAUUUAUAAGUUAUUGCCUUAAGAUGAGUCCGCGUCCCAUUAGCUAGUUGGCAGGGUAAUGGCCUACCAAGGCAACGAUGGGUAGCUGGUCUGAGAGGAUGAUCAGCCACACUGGAACUGAGACACGGUCCAGACUCCUACGGGAGGCAGCAGUAGGGAAUAUUGCACAAUGGGGGAAACCCUGAUGCAGCAACGCCGCGUGAGUGAUGAAGGCCUCGGUGUAAGCCUGUGGGAGGAGAAUGAGCCAUGGCUAAUAUCCAUGGUGAUGACGGUA